AGAAGACUUGAGACAGAAGCUGUCAGCACUUCAUCUUUGGCAUCUAAGUGGCUGUGAAAGAUGAUCACAAUUUAGUCAAAAGACAUAAUCUUGUCCAGUUAUAUUUGAAGAAAAUCAUGUUUAAGGAAUGUGUACACUUUUCCUCUCCUGUUUUUACACAGUUUUACAAACAGUAUGUUUCACAAACAUAAAAAUGAUUUUUAACUUCUGAUACUAUUUCCCUUUUUAUUUUUAAGAAGAAAUCCUGCAGAAAUUUAGAGAUAAAAAAACACUGAUUUUCUGAAAUAACAAAAUAUUUAUGAAUCAGUAGCCAAUAAUAUUUAAUUCCCCAAAGCAGAGCAAUUGAAGCCAUUUCCAGUCAUCAAUACACAAAUAGACUGCAAAAUGUUAUAAUUAUCUUAUGUUUAAAGACAAUAGUUAUUUAAAACAAUUUGUUCUUACCUCUAGAUUUUCUUAAGUCUCUUCAUUAUUGCUAGAAAAUAUUGUCAAGGUCCUUUUAAUCAUAUCUUAGCAUAUUAAAUGUUGGUAUCCAUAUAGGUAACAAUCGUUUAUUUUUUAAUCUUUUAGUAUGUCUUGGGAAUUAAUGAUUCCCCUAUUUUUUUUACCUGC
This 609-nucleotide long non-coding RNA is filed under the name Bos taurus (domestic cattle). Its description in RNAcentral is "long non-coding RNA NONBTAT026919". The record is from RNAcentral. Lineage: Eukaryota; Metazoa; Chordata; Mammalia; Artiodactyla; Bovidae.